UGGUGGGGGUGGGGUGGGAAUGGAGGGGUUGCUGGGGGGGGGGAAGCCUGAGAGCAGGCCGCCAUCAGAAAUAGGAGUGCAUUCAUAACGGGAGACUAUCCCAAAAAGUUGGAUAGAGCUACAGACAGAUGACCCAAGGAAAACACCUUGUCUCUCUGUCUGCCUCAGAUGCCCGAGGAAUACUACAAGGUAGCUUCUCUGAGGGGUAGGAAGUGGCUUCAAGGAAGUGAGGUGUCCAAGAGAUCAAAGAGGGAACCUUUAGUCCUCACUUCAGGUUGCAGCAGGUCCACAUCCGUUCGUCUCAAUCCCAGGCACCAACAGUACUGACACGGAUGGAUGUUGAAAGAUGGAAGCCAGAAUGUCAGGAGGGACAGACUGGUAUAAAUGAAGAAGCUGCAGUCCCAAGGCACCUCCCAACUUUGUUAAUGGAAACCUACUGAUCCGUGACACGAGCGUGGCAGACAUCUGCUCGGGGUAAUGCACUGGUAAUGGAACUCCUUCACCAGCUUCACAAGUAAGUUACUGAGCACACGUUAACUUUGGAGUGGGAGUGUCUACAAAGCCAUCUGUCACAUGAUUGAAGACAAAAUGCUACCUGAUACUGGAGAGCCUAGGUCGAUUUUACUGCUUGAUGUAGGGGGAUUCAGUGAGAGAGACCACAGCACAUCCCGAAGUGGAGCUGAAUCGGAGUCAGGUU
Mastomys coucha (southern multimammate mouse) is the source of this 697-nucleotide long non-coding RNA. RefSeq lists it as uncharacterized. The record is from RefSeq and is a predicted model, not a curated record. Lineage: Eukaryota; Metazoa; Chordata; Mammalia; Rodentia; Muridae. The transcript is spliced from 3 exons.